CCUCCUUAACGAAAGAUUGACGAUUGGUAAGAAUCCACAACAAGUUGUUCUUCAUGACGAUGUAUCUGAGGGUCUGUAGCUCAGUUGGUUAGAGCACACGCUUGAUAAGCGUGGGGUCACAAGUUCAAGUCUUGUCAGACCCACCAAAUCUGACUAACAAGCAUUAUUAAAUGCUGAAUACAGAAAAACAGAGACAUUGACUUAUUGAUAAGCUGGGGACUUAGCUUAGUUGGUAGAGCGCCUGCUUUGCACGCAGGAGGUCAGGAGUUCGACUCUCCUAGUCUCCACCAAAUUUCAAGAAUAGAAAAACAAUGUUUUUCCUUGAAAUUUAAGCAAGAAGCUAUGCUUCGCGCAGAUAGGUUGGAUUACAGAAAUUAGUAAGAAGUAGAUAUUGGUUUACAUUUUAUUAACUUCUGUGAUUUAUCACAGUUUCCUGACCUGACGAAGGCUGGAAAANUCAUUANCAGAAUAUAUU
RNAcentral lists this transfer RNA (475 nucleotides) under uncultured Gammaproteobacteria bacterium. RNAcentral describes it as "partial 16S-23S ribosomal RNA intergenic spacer". The stretch from base 70 to 143 matches the Rfam family "tRNA". The record is from RNAcentral. Lineage: Bacteria; Pseudomonadati; Pseudomonadota; Gammaproteobacteria.